GAUGAACGCUGGCGGCGUGCCUAAUACAUGCAAGUCGAGCGAACGGACGAGAAGCUUGCUUCUCUGAUGUUAGCGGCGGACGGGUGAGUAACACGUGGAUAACCUACCUAUAAGACUGGGAUAACUUCGGGAAACCGGAGCUAAUACCGGAUAAUAUUUUGAACCGCAUGGUUCAAAAGUGAAAGACGGUCUUGGUGUCGCUUAUAGAUGGAUCCGCGCUGCAUUAGCUAGUUGGUAAGGUAACGGCUUACCAAGGCAACGAUGCAUAGCCGACCUGAGAGGGUGAACGGGCAAAGUGGGAAGGAGAGACGGCACAGACUCCUACGGGAGGAAGAAGUGGGGAAUAUUGCACAAUGGGCGGAAGCCUGAUGCAGCAACGCAGAGUGCGGGAUGACGGCCUUAGGGUGGUAAAACGCUUGCGCAUGUGACGAAGCGUGAGUGACGGUAAUGGGUAAAGAAGCACAGGAUAACUACGGG
This 477-nucleotide ribosomal RNA is filed under the name uncultured bacterium. Its description in RNAcentral is "partial 16S ribosomal RNA". It matches the Rfam family "Bacterial small subunit ribosomal RNA", at positions 28 to 507 of the family's 1533-position model. The record is from RNAcentral.